Molecule: ribosomal RNA, 253 nt
Filed under: uncultured bacterium
Lineage: Bacteria
Description: partial 16S ribosomal RNA
Rfam family: Bacterial small subunit ribosomal RNA
Source: RNAcentral
UACGUAGGGUGCAAGCGUUGUUCGGAAUCAUUGGGCGUAAAGCGUGUGUAGGUGGCUUGCUAAGUUGAUUGUGAAAUCCCUGGGCUCAACCGAGGAAGUGCAGUCAAAACUAGUAGGCUAGAGGACAGCAGAGGAAGGUGGAAUUCCAAGUGUAGAGGUGAAAUUCGUAGAUAUUUGGAGGAAUACCGGCGGCGAAGGCGGCCUUCUGGACUGUUCCUGACACUGAGACACGAAAGCGUGGGUAGCAAACAGG